AAGGAUCCCAUCUUUCAAUCCUGACAACUACACCAUUACUUUUUUGCCUUUUCUGUUCUCUGUCUUUCUAUGUACGUUUAGUUUUUAAAUAUCAAAAAAUGUUGGGAACUUCGAUAAAUCCCAUAAAACCACCUUCUUCUUCUGCCUCCUGGAAUUGCUAUUAUUGGUCUUGUGAAACGAGAAUGGCCACGUUGUUGUCCUCCACCUCUUCAUUUGAUUAUUAUAACCACUCUCUUCACUUUCUUUUCUCUCCUUCCAAGUUACACUGCCCCAGAAUUUUGGUCUCCAAGCUUCCUGGACUCAGGUUCCGGGUCUCCUCACCAUCUAAAUCUCGAGUUUUUUGUGAAUCCAAGACACAGGAGGGCCAAAUUAGAAGAUGUUCACCUUUACUAGAAAAAGCAUCACUGCCAAGUAAUGGUGCACUUGCCUCUGAUGAAUGGAAAGCAGUCCCCGACAUUUGGAGGUCUUCAGCAGAAAAGCAUGGUGAUCGAGUAGCAGUGGUGGAUCCAUAUCAUGAUCCACCUUCUACCAUGACUUAUAAACAGUUGGAGCAGGAAAUAUUGGACUUCACUGAAGGUUUAAGGGUUAUUGGAGUUAACCCAGAAGAAAAGGUUGCACUUUUUGCUGAUAAUUCAUGCCGAUGGCUUGUUGCUGAUCAAGGUAUAAUGGCAAUGGGAGCAAUUAAUGUUGUCAGGGGGUCAAGAUCAGCUGUGGAAGAGCUUUUACAUAUAUAUAAUCAUUCGGAAAGUGUUGGGCUUGUUGUUGACAAUCCUGAAUUUUUCAAUCGUCUUGCCGGAACAUUUUCUUCCAAGUCAACCAUGAGAUUUCUUGUUCUACUUUGGGGGGAGAAAGCAUGGCUGUCCAAUGGUGAAACACACGGUGUGCCUAUAUUCAGUUAUAAGGAGAUCAUAGAGUUAGGAAGAGAGAGCCGUGUUGCUCAUAUUGGUUCUCACGAUGCUAGACAAGGUUGCAAAUAUGAAAUCAUUGGCUCAGAUGAUAUUGCUACUAUUGUAUAUACAAGCGGAACCACUGGUAACCCAAAAGGCGUUAUGCUUACACAUAAGAAUUUAUUACACCAGAUAGAAAACUUGUGGGAUGUUGUACCUGCUGAAGCUGGGGAUAGAUUUCUAAGCAUGCUUCCUACUUGGCACGUGUAUGAGCGAGCUUGCGAGUAUUUCACAUUUACACAUGGAAUUGAGCAAGUAUAUACAACCGUGAGAAAUUUGAAGGAUGAUUUGAGACAUUAUCAACCACAAUACCUGAUUUCUGUACCUUUAGUGUAUGAGACACUCUAUCGUGGGAUUCAAAAGCAGAUUUCAACAAGCUCCACUAUUCGUAAAUUAAUUGCAGUUUCAUUCAUAAAGGUCAGCUUGGCAUAUAUGGAAUUCAAGAGAAUUUACGAGGGACUAUACCUAACAAGGAAUACGGAGCAACCUUCAUAUCUUGCAUCCUUGUUAGACUGUUUAUGGGCGAGAAUUAUUGCUGCAAUAUUGUGGCCAUUGCAUGUGUUAGCAAAGAAGCUUGUCUAUCAAAAAAUUCACUCUGCUAUUGGAAUAUCAAAGGCUGGCAUAAAUGGGGGUGGAAGUUUGCCUAUGCAUCUGGACAAGUUUUUUGAGGCAAUUGGUGUAACAGUGCAGAAUGGAUACGGUUUAACAGAAUCAUCCCCUGUCGUUGCUUGUCGACGACCUUACUGUAAUGUUAUUGGUUCAAUUGGGCAUCCGAUUCAACACACAGAAUUCAAAGUUGUAGAUUCCGAAACUGGUGAGGUUCUCCCGCCUGGCACCAGAGGCAUUGUAAAGGUUAGGGGGCCACAAGUGAUGAAAGGUUACUAUAAGAAUCCUUUGGCUACUAAGCAAGCUCUAGAUGAAGAUGGUUGGCUAGACACUGGUGAUAUAGGUUGGAUUGCACCUUAUCAUUUGGCCGGGCGAAGUCAUCGUUGUGGAGGUGUGAUAGUUCUUGAAGGACGUGCCAAGGACACCAUUGUCCUUUCUUCCGGUGAAAAUGUUGAACCGUUAGAGAUUGAAGAAGCUGCCAUGAGGAGCAGUCUCAUUCAACAGAUUGUGGUCGUAGGACAGGACCAACGACGCCUUGCAGCUAUCAUUGUCCCGAACAAAGAUGAGGUACUUCAGGCUGCAAAAGUAUCCUCUAUCGUAGAUCCAGAUGCUGUAGAUCUUGGCAGGGACAAAAUGACAAGCCUGCUAUGUGAAGAAUUAAGCAAAUGGACCUCGGAGUGUUCAUUUCAAGUCGGACCAAUCCUUGUUGUGGAUGAACCUUUUACGAUUGAUAGCGGCUUAAUGACCCCAACCAUGAAAUUAAGAAGAGACCAAGUUGUAGCGAAAUACAAGGAGGAAAUAGCCAAUCUGUACAAGUAAAUUCCUUUUACAACAUAUGAUAUACUUGAAGACUAUAAUGACCAUUCUUAUGUGGGAUUCUCAAAAUUGAUGCAAAUAGCAAGGGGAUUAUAAAGAUGAAAUGAGAACUGGGUGUUUGGUUUCAAAAUGACCUACCUUUAGUACACACUUUGUGAUCUUUGGCGGAGACAAAUUGAUGGUGAACUACUGAAAUGUUAAAUUUGUAAUUAGUGGACUGAUUAAGCUGAGAUUUUACAGAAAGAAAGAUGUAUUAAAUGUAUCUUGCUAAAACAUAAUGAAAAUAAUAAAUUAAUUGUCAUCCUAUAA
Molecule: RNA transcript, 2678 nt
Organism: Gossypium raimondii (Peruvian cotton)
Lineage: Eukaryota; Viridiplantae; Streptophyta; Magnoliopsida; Malvales; Malvaceae
Gene name: probable acyl-activating enzyme 16, chloroplastic
Exons: 19
Source: RefSeq, a predicted model, not a curated record